UCUGGUUGAUCCUGCCUGAACUGAUGUGUUCAUUUCAAAGAUUAAGCCAUGCAUGUAUAAGUUUAAUCGUUUUAACGAGAAACCGCGAACGGCUCAUUACAAUGGCCAUGAUUUACUUGAUCUUGAUUAUCUAAAUGGAUAACUGUGGAAAAGCUAGAGCUAAUACAUGCACCAAAGCUUUGUCCUCUCGGAAAAGCGCAUUUAUUAGAACAAAACCACGCGGCUUCGGCUGCUUCUUGUUGACUCAGAAUAACUAAGCUGACCGCAUGGCCUUGUGCCGGCGGCGUGUCUUUCAAGCGUCCACUUUAUCAACUUGACGGGAGCAUAAUCGACUCCCGUGGUGGUGACGGAUAACGGAGGAUCAGGGUUCGACUCCGGAGAAGGGGCCUGAGAAAUGGCCACUACGUCUAAGGAUGGCAGCAGGCGCGCAAAUUACCCACUCUCGGCUCGAGGAGGUAGUGACGAGAAAUAACGAGAUCGUUCUCUUUGAGGCCGGUCAUCGGAAUGAGUACAAUUUAAACCCUUUAACGAGUAUCAAGCAGAGGGCAAGUCUGGUGCCAGCAGCCGCGGUAAUUCCAGCUCUGCUAAUACAUAGAAUUAUUGCUGCGGUUAAAAAGCUCGUAGUUGGAUUCGUAUCGGUACCCUGGAACCCUCCGGGUGUUUCUGGGUGUUAUCGAUUUAUCGUAAUGUUCGGUUUUGAGUCCUUAACAGGAUUCUUAACAGGCAUUGCAAGUUUACUUUGAACAAAUCAGAGUGCUUCAAACAGGCGUUUUCGCUUGAAUGAUCGUGCAUGGAAUAAUAGAAAACGAUUUCGGUUCAGUUUUAUUGGUUUUACGGACUGAGAUAAUGGUUAACAGAGACAAACGGGGGCAUUUGUAUGGCCCCGUGAGAGGUGAAAUUCUUGGACCGUGGCCAGACAAACUACAGCGAAAGCAUUUGCCAAGAAUGUCUUCAUUAAUCAAGAACGAAAGUCAGAGGUUCGAAGGCGAUCAGAUACCGCCCUAGUUCUGACCGUAAACGAUGCCAACUAGCGAUCCGCCGAUGGAAAUUAUAUUGCCUUGGUGGGGAGCUUCCCGGAAACGAAAGUCUUCCGGUUCCGGGGGAAGUAUGGUUGCAAAGCUGAAACUUAAAGGAAUUGACGGAAGGGCA
Molecule: ribosomal RNA, 1149 nt
Filed under: Meloidogyne incognita (southern root-knot nematode)
Lineage: Eukaryota; Metazoa; Nematoda; Chromadorea; Rhabditida; Meloidogynidae
Description: SSU rRNA
Rfam family: Eukaryotic small subunit ribosomal RNA
Source: RNAcentral